GAAGCUCUGCCCUCAAAGAGACCGAAUAAGAAAGGGAAGGUUGCAUUGAACUGGAUGAUUCUGUGCCAAGCUGGUGAAGGACCAGUGAGCCAAUUACAAAAGGCUGGUGGGUGACUUGAGCCACUAGAGCAGGGUGGAAGUCUGCGAAGGUGUUUUGUACCCAGCAAGAUCUGCAGCAGAGCUGAGGGAGGGAAGCCCUUCACCUGAGCCCUAUCCCUGCUAUCGAGGCACAUCUUGACUCAGCUCCACAAGGCUCUGAAAUAGUCCAAAACAGGAGGACGGGCAUUCAGUCAAAGCAAGGAUUGCAGGAAAUGUCAGAUGUGUGAGCUGUUACCUCGUAGGGCUGAAACCCUUGGAAGGUCCUUGGCUGGAGAAAGGGAGUAGCUAUUGGAAGGUGACAUGGAUGCCUUCUUGGAGUUGCUCCCAAGUGGCCUUUAUCUGGGACAGAAAGAGGAAUAAUAACUGCAAGCAAAGAUACCACCCAAUUGGAUGGCCCUGUUGUGUGACAGCAACCUAUCGCUGAUUGAAGCAGGUAAUUAUGAUGCUGAACAUGGCUCAGAAAGUUACCCAUGCAGGCAUCUAGUGUAAUUUUAAAAUGAAGC
Molecule: long non-coding RNA, 602 nt
Filed under: Coturnix japonica (Japanese quail)
Lineage: Eukaryota; Metazoa; Chordata; Aves; Galliformes; Phasianidae
Description: lncRNA (ENSCJPG00005014292.1)
Source: RNAcentral